GAUGAACGCUAGCGACAGGCCUAACACAUGCAAGUCGAGGGGUAGCACAGAAUAGCUUGCUAUUUGGGUGACGACCGGCGCACGGGUGAGUAACGCGUAUGCAACCUGCCUAUAAGAGGGGGAUAGCCUUUCGAAAGAAAGAUUAAUACCGCAUAAUACUAUUUACCUGCAUGGGUAAAUAGUUAAACUAUUUGGCUUAUAGAUGGGCAUGCGUUCCAUUAGAUAGUUGGUGAGGUAACGGCUCACCAAGUCAGCGAUGGAUAGGGGUUCUGAGAGGAAGGUCCCCCACACUGGUACUGAGACACGGACCAGGCUCCUACGGGAGGCAGCAGUGAGGAAUAUUGGUCAAUGGGCGAGAGCCUGAACCAGCCAAGUCGCGUGAAGGAUGAAGGUCUUAUGGAUUGUAAACUUCUUUUAUAAGGGAAUAAAAAAGAUCACGUGUGGUCUAUUGCAUGUACCUUAUGAAUAAGCAUCGGCUAACUCCGUGCCAGCAGCCGCGGNAAUACGGAGGANGCGAGCGUUAUCCGGAUUUAUUGGGUUUAAAGGGUGCGUAGNCGGUUUAUUAA
Molecule: ribosomal RNA, 566 nt
Filed under: uncultured prokaryote
Description: bacterial SSU rRNA
Rfam family: Bacterial small subunit ribosomal RNA
Source: RNAcentral